AACGAACGCUGGCGGCAGGCUUAACACAUGCAAGUCGAACGGGUGCAGCAAUGCAUCAGUGGCAGACGGGUGAGUAACACGUGGGAACCUUCCUAGGGGUACGGAACAACUCAGGGAAACUUGAGCUAAUACCGUAUACGUCCGUGAGGAGAAAGAUUUAUCGCCCUUAGACGGGCCCGCGUCGGAUUAGCUAGUUGGUGGGGUAACGGCCUACCAAGGCGACGAUCCGUAGCUGAUCUUAGAGGAUGAUCAGCCACACUGGGACUGAGACACGGCCCAGACUCCUACGGGAGGCAGCAGUGGGGAAUCUUGGACAAUGGGCGGCAAGCCUGAUCCAGCCAUGCCGCGUGAGUGAAGAAGGUCUUCGGAUUGUAAAGCUCUUUUGCCAGGGACGA
This 395-nucleotide ribosomal RNA is filed under the name uncultured bacterium. Its description in RNAcentral is "bacterial SSU rRNA". It matches the Rfam family "Bacterial small subunit ribosomal RNA", at positions 29 to 448 of the family's 1533-position model. The record is from RNAcentral.